UACAGAGGGUGCAAGCGUUACUCGGAAUUACUGGGCGUAAAGCGUGCGCAGGCGGUGAUGUAAGACAGAUGUGAAAUCCCCGGGCUCAACCUGGGAACUGCAUUUGUGACUGCAUCGCUGGAGUGCGGCAGAGGGGGAUGGAAUUCCGCGUGUAGCAGUGAAAUGCGUAGAUAUGCGGAGGAACACCGAUGGCGAAGGCAAUCCCCUGGGCCUGCACUGACGCUCAUGCACGAAAGCGUGGGGAGCAAACAGG
Molecule: ribosomal RNA, 253 nt
Filed under: uncultured bacterium
Lineage: Bacteria
Description: partial 16S ribosomal RNA
Rfam family: Bacterial small subunit ribosomal RNA
Source: RNAcentral